Long non-coding RNA from Mugil cephalus (flathead mullet), 873 nucleotides. RefSeq lists it as uncharacterized. The record is from RefSeq and is a predicted model, not a curated record. The transcript is spliced from 2 exons. Lineage: Eukaryota; Metazoa; Chordata; Actinopteri; Mugiliformes; Mugilidae.
CUGAAGAUGGGAUGGCACUAUUGGUCUGGCUUCCUGAGGCCAACGAGUUUUCCUCUGCCUGGCCAGUGAGUUGUCUGAGGAGAUCCACCCUGAGGAGAAAAGAGAGAUCAGGUAGUUUUCCAAAGCAUCUGAUGGUCUUCCUCAACAGAUGGACCCAGACACUACUUGCUGUGGCUCAGGACUAGAAAGUAAAAUUCAUCAACUCAGAAGGCGUGGCUCAUCAGAACCGGUAGUGUUUUCGUUUUUCCUUUCCCGUGAGCGCCCCAAAGUAAAUUCUAUGCACGCCGACCGUCUGAGGGCAGAAACCCCCUGCUUUUAUUUUCUGCAGCACACAGCCCUGUAACGUGGAGGGAGUUUUGAUGCAAUGUCUUUCUGUGGGUGAAAAGAACAGAACCUUGACGCUGAAGCGUCCCAGCUCUGACGUGAGACGGCCUGUGAUGCAAAACAAAUUAAUCACCCCACGGCGGAGGCGUUGCGACGUGAAGUGGCCGAGCCGAAGGACUUUAUAUACAAACACCCACAGCACCUGCGGCUGAGGGGGGGUACUGCUCUGGGAUGACAUCUGGCCUCUCUGUUGGUGAGGAAAGCGAUGACACAACCCGAUCUGGUUGAAACCAAAUUAAUUUCUCCAGUCUAAACUACAGCACCAUGUCAGUGUUGACCCCUCAUGAAUCUUAGCAGAUCUUUCUGUCCUGCACUGUUCUUAUAAAAACACACACACACAAUAUUUACAAGAUUUGAUUAUGAUUUUUGCAGUCAUAACUGCAGCAAAACAGACCACGCCUUACAGGAUCUGAACUUCUGCUUCUUUCUGUCACCUGGCACAUGUGACACAUUCAGAGAUAACUGCAAUAAAACCAUAUACUGCUUUGA